Molecule: ribosomal RNA, 392 nt
Filed under: uncultured bacterium
Lineage: Bacteria
Description: partial 16S ribosomal RNA
Rfam family: Bacterial small subunit ribosomal RNA
Source: RNAcentral
AUACGGAGGAUCCGAGCGUUAUCCGGAUUUAUUGGGUUUAAAGGGUGCGCAGGCAGCCAUUUAAGUCAGCGGUUAAAUCGUGGGGCUCAACCCCAUUCUGCCGUUGAUACUGGGUGGCUUGAUUGCGGUCGAGGUUGGCGGAAUUCGUUGUGUAGCGGUGAAAUGCAUAGAUAUGACGAAGAACACCGAUUGCGUAGGCAGCUGACCAGAACGCAAAUGACGCUCAUGCACGAAAGUGCGGGGAUCGAACAGGAUUAGAUACCCUGGUAGUCCGCACAGUAAACGAUGAAUACUUGUUUUCGGCGAUAUAAUGUCGGAGGCAAAGCGAAAGCGAUAAGUAUUCCACCUGGGGAGUACGCCGGCAACGUUGAAACUCAAAGGAAUUGACGGGG